CUAACUUAAAGGACGCCGGCUAGCUCUCUCGGGGGUACCCUUUUGAGAAUUUUCCCCGUGUCUUUUGCGUACUUCUUGGUUCCUUGGUGGGUUCGACCACCACUAGGAGAAACAUGAACCUUUUGUAAUUGCAAUCAGCGUUUUAACUUAUUAAUAAUUACGUUUUUCAACAGAUGAUCUAUUGGUUCUGGCAUCAAUGAAUAACGCAAGGAAAUGCGAUAAGUAGUGUGAAUUGCAGAAUUCAGUGAAUCAUCGAAACUUUGAACGCACAUUGCGCCCUUUGUUAUUCCAAAGGGCAUGCCUGUUCCAGCGUGGUUUGUACCCUCUAGCUUUGCUUGGGGUUGGGCGUCUUGUCUCUAUCUUUGCGGGAUACCCCCCUUAAAGUAAUUGGCAGCCGGCCUACUGUUUAAGGAGCGCAGCACAAGUCGCCCUCUCGGUCAGCAAAGGUCUCCCAUCCUUUAAUCCUUCUUUUCUUCUUUUGACCUCAGAUCAGGUUGGGAUACCAACUCAACUUAAGCAAAUCUUA
Molecule: ribosomal RNA, 526 nt
Filed under: fungal sp.
Lineage: Eukaryota; Fungi
Description: eukaryotic LSU rRNA
Rfam family: 5.8S ribosomal RNA (bases 162-315)
Source: RNAcentral